CUAGGUCAGGACGACAAAGAGAGCCCAACCCAUCAAGCAAGAGUGUCCUAGAGCCACAAGCAACAAACUCCUCCGUGGCUAUCUCCAGUCCUUGGAGACCUUCCCAUGGCUUCCCUCCUUUCACUUGUCACAUAACGUCAUACACUCUUUCUUCGUCCUUCUUAUUCAAUUAUUUCUCGUUAGACAAGAGGCUGGUUUCUUGAUUUUCUCCAAGAAAUGGCAAACUUUGCUCUGAAAGCACACGGCUGUUGCUUUCUCUCUCACACCACAAACACACAUACUUCGUUUCUCAACGUCAAGCCCCAAAACUUGCAUUUAUUUCCCUCCAAGCGCAGCUUGAAAUUCAGGGUUGUGUGUAGCGUUAAAGAGAAAGAGAAUGUCGAGAAAAGCGAGAGGGUCUCUGAUGUUAUCACUGGACUCCGAGUGGACGGAUUGGAGCAGAGGAGUUCAACUACGGAUCCUGGGCUUCAAUCAGGAAAUGCUGGUGGCUCUAGAGAAGUGGGUUUUGAUUUGAAUUGCCCGCCAUGGAAUAAUAUUCCUCAGAGAUAUAAACUUAUUGGCACUGCUUCACUUGCCUUUGUUAUUUGUAAUAUGGACAAGGUAAAUUUGAGUGUUGCAAUUAUUCCAAUGUCUCACCAGUUUGGGUGGAACGCAUCUGUGGCUGGCCUGGUGCAAUCAUCCUUCUUUUGGGGAUAUGCAUUGAGUCAAUUACCAGGAGGUUGGUUAGCCAAGAUAUUUGGGGGCAGGAAAGUUCUUGAAAUUGGUGUGUUGACUUGGUCAUUGGCGACUGCAUUUCUUCCAUCACUUGCUGGUUUUAUGCCUGGACUUGUCUUGUCAAGGAUUUUGGUUGGAAUAGGAGAAGGUGUUUCCCCAUCAGCUGCAACUGACCUUAUUGCCAGAUCAAUACCUUUGGAAGAGCGCUCACGGGCUGUAGCAUUUGUCUUUGGUGGACUGAGUAUAGGAAGUGUCACAGGGCUUCUUUUGGCUCCUCCCCUCAUUCAAAAUUUUGGUUGGGAAUCUGUAUUUUACAUUUUUGGCUUUCUUGGAUUAGCUUGGUUUUUGAUAUUUCAGUUUCUUAAAGAGGAACAAGCUUCAUAUGCUUCUGUACCCUCAUCAAGGCCCCAGUCUAUCAAUUUGGAUAAAUCAUGGAAUACUUCUCUUGCAGAAUUGGGUGAUUCACUGAAGGAAAUACCAUGGAAUGCAUUUUUCCAGAGUAAAGCCGUGUGGGCUAUGAUAUAUGCUCAUUUUUGUGGAAGCUGGGGUCACUAUACUUGUUUAUCUUGGCUUCCUUCUUAUUUUAGUGAGGAGCUGAACUUAAAUUUGACAGAAGCUGCAUGGGUUUCCAUUCUUCCUCCUUUGGCUUCAAUUUUCGUAACUAGCAUUGCUGCACAGCUUGCUGACAACUUAAUUGCCAAUGGAGUUGAAACAACUACGGUGCGAAAGACUUGCCAAGCAGUUGCCUUUUUGUCUCCUGCCGUUUGCAUGACUCUCUCCUCUGUAGAUCUAGGGCUGCCCCCUUGGGAAAUUGUGGGGAUUCUAACCGGUGGCUUGGCCCUCUCAAGCUUUGCCCUGUCUGGACUAUAUUGCACGCAUCAAGAUAUAUCUCCUGAAUAUGCAAGUAUACUGUUGGGUAUUACAAACACUGUUGGAGCAAUACCUGGGAUUGUUGGUGUUGCCUUGACUGGUUAUCUUCUUGACACAACCCAUUCAUGGAGUAUGUCAUUGUUUGCGCCAUCAAUCUUUUUCUACUUGACUGGUACGGUUGUAUGGUUGGUAUUUGCAAGCAGUAAGCCUCAAAACUUUUCCAACAGAGAUUAAUUUGGAUCCUGAGUUCAGGGUGACAUUGUUGUAAGACUUGCCACAUAAAGCAGAUGUGUGUCUCCAUACUACAAAGGAGUGAAUUAUAUUUGCAAAUAUAAGUAUGACUAGUUCAUAUAAUGACUUGUACUAUAUUCUUCAUCAAGAAAAAAUAAUGUGACAUUUGCAUGUAUUCUAUCUCUUAUUUGAUCAAUCAUUAUAAGGAACCAGUUUCAGUUCCACCUAGUACUACCUAGUUGCAAGCAGGGACAACAUAUGGCAAGUGUGCAAAUACAACAGAGAAAGGUGCAACCAUUAUUGGCUUUGAUAAAUUUACAUUCAGAGGAUCCAAGACAGAAAAGUUCAUCGACAGAACAUUUCUACCCAUCAAUCGGUUCCAGAGAAGAGCACUGCAGUGAAGAGAGAAAAGUGCCCAAGUAAGAAAUCUCAGCUGUUUCAGUUGGGAUAAAAAGAUCGAAGUUUAGAUUUGUGUUCUAACUAGUGAUGAGCCAAUCUAGUUCUUUAUCAAGUUCUAUUAAGCAGGAUUUACUGCUCUUAAUUUUAAUAUAACAACUGCACUUCCUUAUUUCUACCUGAAUGUAUAUUUGCUUUCAGAAUCAGCUCAAAAUCAUUGGCUUUAAGGCUUGUUUCCAAUCAAUUGAAUUAAGCUUUUGAAUGAAA
RNA transcript from Hevea brasiliensis (rubber tree), 2478 nucleotides. It is a transcript of the gene named probable anion transporter 6, chloroplastic, with no coding region annotated. The transcript has 17 exons. The record is from RefSeq and is a predicted model, not a curated record. NCBI's taxonomy places the organism in Eukaryota, Viridiplantae, Streptophyta, Magnoliopsida, Malpighiales, Euphorbiaceae.